GUGCAAAUCCCGAUAGGAUUAAUGGAUUUUUUUUUUUUGAAAAUUCAUAAGUUCACGAAUGGGCGUGGAAAAAGAAUUCAAGGAUUUUCGUGUACGCAAACCUCUAUUUGCACAGUUUCACGUCGAUAACGAUCUAUUACGUUUUUCGUAUAAUUUAACGCGGCCACCACGAAUGGCCGAUUCAACGUUGAUAAGCUCGAAUUUUGGUGGAAAUUGCACGGAAAUCACGAGGAAUUUCACAGGAUCCGAAAGAGGCAAAGCUCUCGAAGUUUUGUGGCGUGCGAAUUUAAUUUUCCACGUUGCUUUGCCGCCCAUUUAAACUGGUGGCGCUGGUCGAGGUCAGACCGGUUGCAGGGGCGUACUGUGUUUCACCCGGAGAUAAUUAAUGUGAACUUCGGACUAAUAGCAGAGUAACACGACCGCGUGACAGGGUUACAAUGUGAACGACCAUUACUGGCUAAGAAAUUAGCCCAACCCGGGACGUAUCGUUCUUU
This is a long non-coding RNA of Apis dorsata (giant honeybee), 494 nucleotides long. RefSeq lists it as uncharacterized. The record is from RefSeq and is a predicted model, not a curated record. NCBI's taxonomy places the organism in Eukaryota, Metazoa, Arthropoda, Insecta, Hymenoptera, Apidae. The transcript has 2 exons.